Archocentrus centrarchus (flier cichlid) is the source of this 365-nucleotide long non-coding RNA. RefSeq lists it as uncharacterized. The record is from RefSeq and is a predicted model, not a curated record. Lineage: Eukaryota; Metazoa; Chordata; Actinopteri; Cichliformes; Cichlidae. The transcript has 3 exons.
AAAAAUUUCUUCAGCACUAUUUACACAGUAUCUACAGUGAGUCCUCUGUGUGUGUUUCAUUGUGCAGUCACUGAUGCAGCUGCAGUCGACUCAGAAGACGUCAGAGACAAGAAAAACAGAUCAAAGCUACGAGGAUGGGAUUCAACUGUGGUCUACUCAGCAGUGAGAACUGAAGGCAUCAGUGAUGGACUAGAAAGCAUCAGAACCAGGAGGAGCAGGCUUUAAACCACAGAAAGAUCUCUGCUCUCCACUGAAGCAGCCCUCCACUCUCUAACUCAGGAUCCUCACAGCCAGGCCUCGAGGGCCGGUGUCCUGCAGCUUUUAGAUGUGUCCCUGAUCCAACACACCUGAAUCAAAUGGCUGAA